AGAUGUGAAAGACUAUGAGAAAACUAGGAACCCAAACUCAAGGCCUCUCAAGGUUGCAGCAUGUUGUAAACACUUUGCAACUUAUGACGUCGAUAAUUGGAAGGGGGUUAACGGCUUCCAUUUUGAUGCAGAGGUAUGGAUCUAGAUUGUGGAGAAUUCUACCCAAAAUAUGCGACACAAGCAGUGAAGCAAGGGAAGGUGGCAGAGGCUGAAAUUGAUGCAUCUCUAAAGAACCUUUUCAUUGUUUUGUUGAGACUUGGGUGGUUUGAUGAUAACCCUGGUGGGUACUCAAGACUAGGGAAGAACAACAUAUGUUCUCCGGCACAUCUUGAGCUCUCGGCUGAUGCUGCAAGACAGGGGAUUGUCUUACUAAAAAAUGAUAAGAACACUUUGCCAUUGAUCGUUGACACCGGACAGCCCAAGUUCACCGUUGUUGGACCCAUGUAAAUUCUACUAGUGCAAUGAUUGGUUACUAUGCAUGUAAGUAGAUGUUUCAAUAUAUUCAUUUCUUUUCUUUUCCUUUCU
This is a long non-coding RNA of Macadamia integrifolia, 525 nucleotides long. RefSeq lists it as uncharacterized. The transcript is spliced from 2 exons. Lineage: Eukaryota; Viridiplantae; Streptophyta; Magnoliopsida; Proteales; Proteaceae. The record is from RefSeq and is a predicted model, not a curated record.